AAUAAGAUGCCUGACUUAAAAGGAUUAUUUUGAUAGAAUAAAUUAUGUAUAUAUUAUACUCUUAUUA
This 67-nucleotide transfer RNA is filed under the name Palomena prasina (green shield bug). Its description in RNAcentral is "tRNA-Ile". The record is from RNAcentral. Lineage: Eukaryota; Metazoa; Arthropoda; Insecta; Hemiptera; Pentatomidae.